Molecule: non-coding RNA, 21 nt
Filed under: Caenorhabditis elegans
Lineage: Eukaryota; Metazoa; Nematoda; Chromadorea; Rhabditida; Rhabditidae
Source: RNAcentral
UAUUAUCUUUGUUUGCAUUCA